UACGAAGGUCCCAAGCGUUGUUCGGAAUCACUGGGCUUAAAGGGCGCGUAGGCGGGGUAGUAAGUCUGUGGUGAAAUCCUCCGGCUCAACCGGAGAACGGCCGUGGAUACUGCUACUCUCGAGGGGUGUAGGGGCAUGCGGAACUUAGGGUGGAGCGGUGAAAUGCGUAGAUAUCCUAAGGAACGCCGAUGGCGAAAGCGGCGUGCUGGACACCUUCUGACGCUGAGGCGCGAAAGCCAGGGGAGCAAACAGG
This 253-nucleotide ribosomal RNA is filed under the name uncultured bacterium. RNAcentral's name for it is "partial 16S ribosomal RNA". It matches the Rfam family "Bacterial small subunit ribosomal RNA", at positions 524 to 776 of the family's 1533-position model. The record is from RNAcentral.